Molecule: unclassified non-coding RNA, 257 nt
Filed under: Sphaerospermopsis oumiana CHAB508
Lineage: Bacteria; Bacillati; Cyanobacteriota; Cyanophyceae; Nostocales; Aphanizomenonaceae
Description: partial 16S-23S ribosomal RNA intergenic spacer
Source: RNAcentral
UAGGGAGACCUACCCAUUUAGAUAUCGAAAGCAAUGAGUAAAUAGAUACUAAACUGGUCUACUCUAGGUCGGUCGAGAUUGGUUAGUUCUCUUUCAAAGUAUUAUUAAAGCUCUGGUCAAAUUCAGCAACUAGGUAAACCCUAGACUGCUGGGUAAAUACCAGCCAGAACCUUGAAAACUGCAUAGUAACGCGAGGCAGUUCAGUAAUCUAGUGCUUUAGCAGCAGAUAACUGAAAUGAAAAAAACCAAUGUAAAGU